Non-coding RNA from Lonchura striata (white-rumped munia), 263 nucleotides. NCBI's taxonomy places the organism in Eukaryota, Metazoa, Chordata, Aves, Passeriformes, Estrildidae. The record is from RefSeq and is a predicted model, not a curated record.
CUGGUACAACACCACUCUGCUAUACCGUGUUCAUUUCAGUAUCUAAAACUCUGGGGUUUGGCUGGAAAAUAUUAGACUAAUCCCAGAUAAUUAACAAAUUGAAUUGUCUCUAUUUUACCGCUGAUUAAAAAGCUGAAAGAGCCAUUCUGAUGUACCAGAGGAUUACAAGAGAAGGUAUCCAAGUGUACAGCCUGGGCACUACACACUCACCACAGACAGCUGCUCUCCUGUUGCCUCCCUCAGUACAUCAGGCCACUGGCUCU